This is an RNA transcript of Brachypodium distachyon (stiff brome), 1832 nucleotides long. It is a transcript of the gene named UDP-D-xylose:L-fucose alpha-1,3-D-xylosyltransferase MGP4, with no coding region annotated. The record is from RefSeq and is a predicted model, not a curated record. The transcript is spliced from 5 exons. NCBI's taxonomy places the organism in Eukaryota, Viridiplantae, Streptophyta, Magnoliopsida, Poales, Poaceae.
UCUCCUAGUCCAGAUACUUCACACUCUCCUCCCAGGCUCCCAGUGUCCCACCUUCCCUGAAACCCUGAUCUCCGGCGAUGUCUCUCCACCAGCGCCCGCACCAGAAGCCGCUGGCCGCCGAUUCUCUCCACGUAUCCACCGGCCCUGCCAGCUCCGCCCCUUCACGGCCCCUUCCCCUCCUCACGCUACCCUACCUCUUCUCCCUCCUCGCGCUCCUCCUCCUCCUCGCCCUCCUCUUCCCCUGGGGGCCGCCCCGCCACUCUUCUCCGGCCUCCCCGUGGCGAGCAUACACGCUCCAAGACGCUGCAGCCUUCGCCGCAGCGGCCGGGAACGGCACUAUCGUCCUCGCUGCCGUCUCCGGGCCCUACCUCCCCUUCCUCUCCAACUGGCUCAUCAGCGUACGCCGCGCUGGCCGCGCUGACCAGGUGCUUGUCAUCGCCGAGGACUAUGAGACCCUCGAGCGCAUCAAUGCUGCAUGGCCGGGACACGCCGUUCUCAUCCCCCCCGCCCCCGACGCCCAGGCCGCGCACAAGUUUGGAUCCCAGGGAUUCUUUAACUUCACCUCACGGCGUCCACGGCACCUGCUGCAGAUUCUUGAGCUGGGUUACAGCGUCAUGUACAAUGAUGUUGACAUGGUGUGGCUUGCCGACCCGUUUCCAUAUCUUGUCGGCAAUCAUGACGUGUACUUUAUGGACGAUAUGACUGAUGUGAAGGCACUAAAUCAUUCGCAUGAGCUUCCACCGCCAGGUAAGAAAGGGCGGCCAUACAUUUGCAGCUGUAUGAUCUUCCUGCAGCCAACAGAAGGGGCUAAACUGCUGAUGAGGAAGUGGAUCGAGGAGCUAAAGGAGCAGCCCUGGUCGAAGAAAGUGAAAUCAAAUGAUCAGCCAGCAUUCAAUUGGGCUUUGCUAAAGACUGUCGGGCAGGUGGAUGUGUAUCUACUACCGCAAUCUGCAUUUCCAACUGGUGGUCUCUAUUUCAAGAAUAAAACAUGGGUCAAGGAGACGAAGGGCAAGCAUGUCAUUAUACAUAACAACUACAUAACAGGGUUUGAGAAGAAGAUAAAACGCUUUCGUGAUCAUAAACUCUGGCUGGUGGAUGAACACAGUGAUGAGUCACCACUUGGUAAAUUAUGAGCAAGCUGUAAAGGCUAAAGUACAUCUUCUUGCUAGAGCAUCACAAUUUUUUAGCUCGUAUUUGACUGGCAAGGACUACAGAAUCAGCUGUUGGAUGAUUUUCCAUCCACCACAUGGAAUUCAACAGGUUGAAAGUGUACUUCAGGGGCUUGAUGUACAGUUGAAUACCAUAUCCGUGUGCCGAAGAUCCUGUUUGUACAUCAAAACCCUGGAGAAUUACCUUUCUCAUGAAGGUUAUCUUCCAAAUUGCAAUUCAUUUUAACAAAACUGAUUGGUUUGAGAAGCCAGGUCUUCAGACAAACGCAGGUGGAAACAAUCUCUGCCAGAGGAUCUGAGGUACAGGACGGCUGUGGCGAGUAACGACUGAAAUCUAUAAUGGUGUGCCAUCCGACUGGAAGCUGCAGACUGAAGAAUGGAUGGUGCUAUGGUUUUCGAGUUCAGCACUUCAGCUAGCUGGAUUGUUUCUGCUAUUUUUUUUUGCUUCAGCAGUCUAUCUUUUGAUCUUGCUUGUGGUAACAGUGUUUUGCAUGUUGUCUCGCAUGAAGGCCAGUUUUCGUUGUGCUGGACUUGUUUUGCUGGCGUGGCGUUGUUCAUUUUGUGUUUGUGUGGAUCAGAGUGUGUGUGUUAUGUCAGGAACUUACUUAUGUAACAGUAGAGGCCGUGUUUUUUCUUCUUUUCGGAAAAAAAAACUUAUGUGCC